This 71-nucleotide transfer RNA is filed under the name Bos taurus (domestic cattle). It matches the Rfam family "tRNA". Rfam says of the family: Transfer RNA (tRNA) molecules are approximately 80 nucleotides in length. Their secondary structure includes four short double-helical elements and three loops (D, anti-codon, and T loops). Further hydrogen bonds mediate the characteristic L-shaped molecular structure. tRNAs have two regions of fundamental functional importance: the anti-codon, which is responsible for specific mRNA codon recognition, and the 3' end, to which the tRNAs corresponding amino acid is attached (by aminoacyl-tRNA synthetases). tRNAs cope with the degeneracy of the genetic code in two manners: having more than one tRNA (with a specific anti-codon) for a particular amino acid; and 'wobble' base-pairing, i.e. permitting non-standard base-pairing at the 3rd anti-codon position. The record is from Rfam by way of RNAcentral. RNAcentral also lists the same sequence under 5 other names. Lineage: Eukaryota; Metazoa; Chordata; Mammalia; Artiodactyla; Bovidae.
UCCCUGAUGGCUCAGUGGUAAAGAAUCUGCCUGCAGUGCAGGAGACGCAGGUUCGAUCCCUGCUCGGGAAG